Long non-coding RNA from Sorex araneus (European shrew), 989 nucleotides. RefSeq lists it as uncharacterized. The record is from RefSeq and is a predicted model, not a curated record. Lineage: Eukaryota; Metazoa; Chordata; Mammalia; Eulipotyphla; Soricidae. The transcript is spliced from 6 exons.
CGGCGCCCGCCGCCCCCCAGCAGCCACCCGCGGCGGGCCGGCGCCGGGCAGUCGGUCGGGCGGCCCCGGGCGCGGGGCCCCGGCACUCACUCGGGAAGUUUUGUCAUCUAGCUUCAGAGUCCUUUGCUUCCAGAGCUAAUGAAGUGGGAAAGAAGGAAGAAAAGGCAGCGAAAGCAGAUACAGUCACUUCUUGAAGCUCAUCACCAAAGAUGCGAAAUAUCCUGCAGGAAUCAAGGAGGGAAAUGGUGGACUUAAGAAAACGUUGCCAAAAUAAGCUGGGAACUGAGUGUCCCCCUUAAGGAGAGAGGAACUAAGAACAUAGACCACUUCUCUCUGUAAAAUGCCAAGCUGUGGUUGGAUUUCUAAGCUGGGAGCAGGAAUUACCCUGAGACAUACAUUCUAGAGAUUACCAGCCCCGGUAGCUGACCUCCAACUACUCAACCACUGCCAUGCUCCAGCUGCUUUCCACAUGCUCCGGCCGAGCCUGAAGCAUGAGUGAAGUCCCACGGAACCCAGCCCGCCACAGCCUUGUGACCCAAGGCUCUGGAAUGGAUCAGCCCUCCUACUCACUCCCUCCUGCGCACACUGCGUCUCCAUGGAAACAGCUUGUCAGGCCUUGGCUGCAGGUUCUGAAGACCUCUCAUCUGCAGCCUCGGUCCCACACAGAUUCAGUCGUAAUCAGUCAGGUUUCUUAGUCGGAGCUGUGUUAGGACUCUCAGACCCUCUAGCCUGUGGGUUUGGGAAUUGUUCGUAAGCCUCCUUUGCUGUGUACCUGGAGAGGCCCUGAGUUGCUGUGGCCUUCUGCUGUUGCUAUUCAGGUCAACAGCAGGAUUUCUGCACUGCGUUCCACUUCAACCCGAAUCCAUCAUCUUCCAGCAAGCUUCUCCUCCCAUCCUCUCCUCCCACCACCAGAGCCUUCUGAUCUCUUCAACCUGUGGCUCAUCACCAGAGACAAUUUGUGCAGUCACUUUUAUGUCUCUCGAGUUCAU